This 253-nucleotide ribosomal RNA is filed under the name uncultured bacterium. RNAcentral describes it as "partial 16S ribosomal RNA". It matches the Rfam family "Bacterial small subunit ribosomal RNA", at positions 524 to 776 of the family's 1533-position model. The record is from RNAcentral.
UACGAAGGGGGCUAGCGUUGCUCGGAUUUACUGGGCGUAAAGGGCGCGUAGGCGGAUGUUUAAGUCGGGGGUGAAAGCCCAGGGCUCAACCCUGGAACUGCCUUCGAUACUGGACAUCUUGAGUACGGGAGAGGUGAGUGGAACUCCGAGUGUAGAGGUGAAAUUCGUAGAUAUUCGGAAGAACACCAGUGGCGAAGGCGACUCACUGGCCCGUUACCGACGCUCAGGCGCGAUAGCGUGGGGAGCAAACAGG